Dendroctonus ponderosae (mountain pine beetle) is the source of this 46-nucleotide non-coding RNA. The record is from Rfam. NCBI's taxonomy places the organism in Eukaryota, Metazoa, Arthropoda, Insecta, Coleoptera, Curculionidae.
UCAAAGACUUUUCUAAAAGUCAUAAAUUAAUUGAUUAAUUUGGAUG